Molecule: ribosomal RNA, 301 nt
Filed under: uncultured bacterium
Lineage: Bacteria
Description: partial 16S ribosomal RNA
Rfam family: Bacterial small subunit ribosomal RNA
Source: RNAcentral
CAGUCGCCGCGGUAAUACGUAGGGUGCGAGCGUUAAUCGGAAUUACUGGGCGUAAAGCGUGCGCAGGCGGUUCGUUAAGACAGAUGUGAAAUCCCCGGGCUUAACCUGGGAACUGCAUUUGUGACUGGCGAGCUAGAGUAUGGCAGAGGGGGGUAGAAUUCCACGUGUAGCAGUGAAAUGCGUAGAGAUGUGGAGGAAUACCGAUGGCGAAGGCAGCCCCCUGGGCCAAUACUGACGCUCAUGCACGAAAGCGUGGGGAGCAAACAGGAUUAGAUACCCCAGUAGUCCUGUCUCUUAUACA